This 398-nucleotide long non-coding RNA is filed under the name Gossypium barbadense (sea-island cotton). Its description in RNAcentral is "long non-coding RNA (GBAR_LNC018851)". Lineage: Eukaryota; Viridiplantae; Streptophyta; Magnoliopsida; Malvales; Malvaceae. The record is from RNAcentral.
CAAUACUUGCAAUCAAAAUUGGAAAAAUAUGAUGUUUUGAACCAGAAUUCUCAUUUGAUAUUUGCCUUGGAGUUGAAGCAGGGGAAUUGGCUGGGGCAUUGCGUGAUUGGGGUGGUUCAGAGAUAGAUACUGAUGGAUCUACAGGAGGUUGUAAAGCUGGAGCUGGUGCUAAUUCAGGUGAAGGUGAAGGUGAAGGUGAAGGUGCAGGAGUCAAAAAGAUACUGGAGGGGGAUUCUGAAGGAGACAACGAUGAAGGUGAAGGUGACAUUGAAGGUGAAAAUGAGGAUUCUGAUGGCGAAGGUGAUGGUGACAGUUGGGAAAUUCUUUCAUUGGCUGUCUUAGAGGGUACAAGCACCUGCUGCAGCCGCCUCCCAUAAGCUAUAUCUCCUGGCUGGGCA